UGCCCCAUCGUCUAACGGUAGGACACCGGUUUCUGGUACCGUCAGUUGGGGUUCGAAUCCCUGUGGGGCAGCCA
RNAcentral lists this transfer RNA (74 nucleotides) under Geitlerinema splendidum. RNAcentral's name for it is "tRNA-Gln". It matches the Rfam family "tRNA". From Rfam's summary of the family: Transfer RNA (tRNA) molecules are approximately 80 nucleotides in length. Their secondary structure includes four short double-helical elements and three loops (D, anti-codon, and T loops). RNAcentral also lists the same sequence under 1 other name. The record is from RNAcentral. Lineage: Bacteria; Bacillati; Cyanobacteriota; Cyanophyceae; Geitlerinematales; Geitlerinemataceae.